Orbicella faveolata is the source of this 768-nucleotide long non-coding RNA. NCBI's taxonomy places the organism in Eukaryota, Metazoa, Cnidaria, Anthozoa, Scleractinia, Merulinidae. The record is from RefSeq and is a predicted model, not a curated record.
UGCAGUUAUUGUAAAAUAUGAAAUGACGUUUAUAUAAAUUUAUAUUCACAGAUACAUCAUAAAAAGGCUAUAUCCAAAGAUACGUGGAACCUUUUGCUAGACUUCAGUAACAUGAUUGAGGAUGACAUGAGCAAUUAUGAUGAAGAAGGAGCAUGGCCAGUACUAAUAGAUGAAUUUGUAGAGUAUGCUAAACCUAAAGUCACAGGAAAGCAAACAACUGUAUGAUACAACCCUGCUUGCACUAGGAAUAUUGCGGCUGGAACAUGGUCUGUCUGUGGUCAUCUUUUUACAACACAUCAAUUGACAAACUUGGAACUUUGUCAUUAUUUUUCAUGAAGAUCUCAGUGACGACCGUCUAGAAUUUAAGUGCAAUAUCAUCAUAAACAAAAAGCCUUUAUUGCUGGACUGUAAAAGGAUGUUUUCUUUCUAUGACAACCUAAUAUUAAUGACUGUCAAUAGACUCAUAAUACCCUGAGGAUGUACAUAAUGGUAAUAAAACCAAUAUUUUCAUACCAAUUUCUUGUUACAAUAUUGUUACGUAGAUAGGGUGGCUGUCUUCUUAUACAAUCCCUUUUCCCUUUGUAGAUUUGUUAUCUAUUAGUCAGAUUUUUCCUCCCUUUAUAGCCACUCUUUGUAAAGUUUUUAGUUAAAUUAAAAUCAGAGGUAGUCCAUAUCCUUGCAACUAUAACUGAAUACUACUACCUCUGUGAACACUGAAAAUUAAGAUUGAAGUGUUAAACAGAAUUAAAGCAAUUUUUCUACCUCUUA